CAGAAGGAAGUGUCCUCCAGCUGAAGCUGCUGUAGGAUGAGCGCAGGACUGUUUGAAAACUAGGUUGAGAUUGCAAUCUUCAAUGAUUUCUGGUGAAACUGAAGGGCUUACCACGCUGGAUUCUGCAGCAGUCUGUCUCAGACAAACACUGCUCACUGUUCUCAGCAGGGACUCGGAAGAUGGAAACGGAGACUGCGCUUAUUAAAUCUGCAAAUUCUAGCAAGCUGGGAGAGACUGCAAGUGCGUAGUAUGAAUUUGGAAAGUGAUCUGAAAAGAAAUGCAGCUUGUUGGGAGUGAAGGCUUUGCAAUUAUUUGAUGGUCUGACCGAUGAGCAUUCACAGAAGAGAAUGAGAAGAAGGAAUUGACUUUCACAGACAAGCAAAAAAGGCUUCAGAGUCUUCAAGCUGGAAGAUAAGAGGAUCUGCAUCCCUGGAGACAAGUGAAGGAACAGAACAGUGUCUAACAGAAAAAUGUUUUGGCUGUUAUCGAUAACUUAUUUUCUCCAGCUGCGAGUGCAAAAUAGCAACUGAAGGUCAGAACUUUGACAGCUCACCUGAUGAAAAUGAAGAGAUCCAAUGAAGAAAAAGGGAGACCUCAGACUCUAAUCUUGCAGUUGGCCCAGAGUGACUCACAGGGAGUGGGGGCUUGGAUUGUGAGGCUAUAAUUAUCCAAGUUUUUUUCCACUGAAGAGGGGUCCCUCUUCAGAAGGCACCA
This is a long non-coding RNA of Columba livia (rock pigeon), 714 nucleotides long. RefSeq lists it as uncharacterized. The transcript has 3 exons. Lineage: Eukaryota; Metazoa; Chordata; Aves; Columbiformes; Columbidae. The record is from RefSeq and is a predicted model, not a curated record.